Pogona vitticeps (central bearded dragon) is the source of this 429-nucleotide non-coding RNA. The record is from RefSeq and is a predicted model, not a curated record. NCBI's taxonomy places the organism in Eukaryota, Metazoa, Chordata, Lepidosauria, Squamata, Agamidae.
CUAGCUCAGCCAGUUUAGGCCUUUCCCCCAGAUAGCUUCAUGGUGUCAAACAGCCUCUCACGGCAACCAACGCAGGAGUCUCCCUAUGAAAACCUCAGUCGCAGGAUCAACUCCAUCAGUCAAAGUUUGCAGGAACGAAUCUAGAGCAACCCAAGCGGGUUAAAGACCACGAGCCUUUUUCCGUGUUAUCCAGUAAAGGAGAAGGACUGCACUGCAUAUGCCGGUCCCAGGAGGUUGAAAUACAACUGACAGCAGUGUGUAAAAUCAGCAACAAUCUGCACCGGGUGUCACACAAAGUGAAUGUGUACCUGUGUGGCCUGAGAUCCCAUAAAAUGCUAUGUUGAUUCAAGCAAACUGAACUGUGUCCAUCCUUUCUACGUGGCUACCCAGUUCUACUGUGAGGAGCUAACAUGAACAAUGUGUGUCCAU